GAAGAACAACAGGGAUUGCCUCAGUAACCGGCGAGUGAAGCGGCAACAGCUCAAAUUUGAAAUCUGGCCUUCUGGUCCGAGUUGUAAUUUGUAGAGGAUGUUUCGAACGUGGUCCGGUCUAAGUUUCUUGGAACAGAACGUCAUAGAGGGUGAGAAUCCCGUAUGCGACUGGGUGCCUAAGUUCAUGUGAAGCUCCUUCGACGAGUCGAGUUGUUUGGGAAUGCAGCUCAAAAUGGGUGGUAAAUUUCAUCUAAAGCUAAAUAUUGGCCAGAGACCGAUAGCGCACAAGUAGAGUGAUCGAAAGAUGAAAAGCACUUUGGAAAGAGAGUUAAACAGUACGUGAAAUUGUUGAAAGGGAAGCGCUUGCAACCAGACUUGCAUGCAGUUGAUCAUCCGAUGUUCUCACCGGUGCACUCGAUUGUAUUCAGGCCAGCAUCGGUUUUGGUGGUUAGAUAAAGGCCUUGGGAAUGUAGCUUCUUUCGGGGAGUGUUAUAGCCCUCGGUGCAAUGUAGCCUACCGGGACCGAGGACCGCGCUUCGGCUAGGAUGCUGGCGUAAUGGUUGUAAGCGACCCGUCUUGAAACACGGACCAAGGAGUCUAACAUCUAUGCGAGUGUUUGGGUGUAAAACCCAUACGCGUAAUGAAAGUGAACGGAGGUGAGAACCCUUAAGGGUGCAUCAUCGACCGAUCCUGAUGUCUUCGGAUGGAUUUGAGUAAGAGCAUAGCUGUUGGGACCCGAAAGAUGGUGAACUAUGCCUGAAUAGGGUGAAGCCAGAGGAAACUCUGGUGGAGGGCUCGCAGCGGUUCUGACGUGCAAAUCGAUCGUCAAAUUUGGGUAUAGGGGCGAAAGACUAAUCGAACCAUUCAAGGAGAGCACAUUAAAAUCCAAUUUUGAAGCUGAAGAUAUAACUUUUCCAAGUUUUGGCAUUUAAUGUCGCUAGGUGGUUAAUUAAGAGCAUAGUGCUCUUUAGUCCAAUUAUGGGCAACACUGCUGUACUGCAUGGACUUUCUUUACGAUUGACCUGCAGCAGGCUUAAAUGCCUGUUCACAGACUAAGUAGCAGUGGCCAGUAUUUACUGGUUUUGAUAUAGCCGGUUCCACUCCAGAGACGGAGUAGUGAGAAAUAUGACGUUAUAGUCCCUGGAGAUGAAGCUGUUUGUAGGGUGUGGCGCAGUUGGCGACUACAGAUGAGCUUGUCCAGAGGGGUUUGACAUAUUUCUUACCAAUGGGUAAACGCUAGUAGCUGGUUCCUGCCGAAGUUUCCCUCAGGAUAGCAGUGUUGAAUUCAGUUUUAUGAGGUAAAGCGAAUGAUUAGAGGCCUUGGGGCAGAAACUGCCUUAACCUAUUCUCAAACUUUAAAUAUGUAAGAAGUCCUUGUUACUUAAUUGAACGUGGACAUUCGAAUGUACCAACACUAGUGGGCCAUUUUUGGUAAGCAGAACUGGCGAUGCGGGAUGAACCGAACGUGAAGUUAAGGUGCCGGAAUAUACGCUCAUCAGACACCACAAAAAGUGUUAAUUCAUCUAGACAGCAGGACGGUGGCCAUGGAAGUCGGAAUCCGCUAAGGAAUGUGUAACAACUCACCUGCCGAAUGAAUUAGCCUUGAAAAUGGAUGGCGCUUAAGCGUAUUACCCAUACUUCACCGCCAGGGUAGAAACGAUGCCCUGGCGAGUAGGCAGGCGUGGAGGUCAGUGACGAAGCCUUGGGAGGUCCCGGGA
Molecule: ribosomal RNA, 1718 nt
Filed under: Alatospora constricta
Lineage: Eukaryota; Fungi; Ascomycota; Leotiomycetes; Leotiales; Leotiaceae
Description: eukaryotic LSU rRNA
Rfam family: Eukaryotic large subunit ribosomal RNA
Source: RNAcentral